Long non-coding RNA from Populus trichocarpa (black cottonwood), 502 nucleotides. RefSeq lists it as uncharacterized. The transcript is spliced from 2 exons. The record is from RefSeq and is a predicted model, not a curated record. NCBI's taxonomy places the organism in Eukaryota, Viridiplantae, Streptophyta, Magnoliopsida, Malpighiales, Salicaceae.
GCCCAUCUCUUUCUUUAAUUACUUCCUUCAUUUCCUUUCUCUCUCUCUCUCUCUCUCUAAAAAAAACCCCAACACACAAACCCAGCAGCUCUAUCUCUAUGUGUUUGUUGGGCUUGGUUGAGUUACACUGUUCUGCAAUGGCUGCUUUUUUAUGUGGUAACCAAGCUGCCCUUGGUCACCAUGGGGUGCCCUCUUCCUUUGCCUUCGUUAAUCAAGGGUCAUUUUGGCGCUUUCAUAAAUAGAGAGAAGAGACCCAGUUACACUGUAGGUGCUUAAAGGGCAGACAGGAUGGAGCCAGGCAAAAAUAUGAAGACGAGGAGGGGGGAGAAAGAAGAAGCAUAUGAUUCUUCAUCAAUGAUGGGUUUUUUUGGUUUACUCACAUCAGAACGCAGAGGAGAUAGAAAAUGGAAGCAUUUUGAUGCCAUUUCUUUAACAUGUAUGUAAGGCUAAAAUGUUGCUGGUACUCAUUUUAAUAUUUGUCGGAAAUGAUCAUUAUUGGAAA